GUGUAGUACUGCACCAGAGGGGCCGUCUGUCGGUGGUAGGAGUCCAGGCGGGAGUGCAGCGUCCUCUCGUUGUCGUCGCUGCGGCGGAUGAGCGGCUCGCCCGUCACCUGAGCGACAGGGAUGAAGAAAGAGAAGGAAAAAGACAGCGCUGUUAUCACAUCAGUUCUCUGUGCUCAGCCUAAGGUCAAGUGAGUCUGGUGUAAAAACUACUUACGUCAUCCUUCAUGGGCUCUUUGGGGGGGUUGAACUCCUCGUGGUAGGAGCGGCCACUGGGCUGAUGAAUUAGUCUGUGGAAAUGGAGGGAAGACAGAAGAAGAAGAGGAGGAGGAGGACAGAUGAGGGUUAGACAGACAGUGACUCACUAUCUACUUAACUGUCGGUUUCACAUCCCACAUGCUGUGUCAUGCUUGGGCUUGAAAAGGCAGCAGGCAGCUUUCUCUUCCUCACAAAGGACCACAUGGACACACAGAUUAAUCUUUUCAAACUAUAAUCUGUAUUGUCACUUCAAUGUCGCAUACAGAUAUUGUGUAGGGGUUAUUGUGGCGAAAGGGGACAACCGCUAUGCUGCAAUAACAAACACCGAUAAAAAAAAGUCACUCAGUCACUCACAAAAAAUUAAUUGACGAUUAAUUUUAGUUAAAUUAAUUAAGGUAAUUUUUUCCAGCCACUCAACUAAAGUGCAAUAUUUGUUUGUGCUCCAGCUCCGGAGGAAGCCUCUUUUUUUUUUUUUUUUUAGCAGCUUCUCGCUAGAUGUUAAUAUGAAAAUACAGAUUUGUCAUUUUGAGUGUCUGAAUCUCAAUGUUUAAGCUUCUUGAACUUGAAAACAAAAGUACAAAUCGGACCCUGAGCGCUUCGUAACCCGGCACAUGGACUUGUGGAAGGAUUCAACUUGUGACCUUCACGCUCCACUUCCCCGCCAACAUUAUCUCACUUUCCCAGACUCCUCUGUUCACAGCAAUCAAAUCAACCUGCUCGGGUGGAUUUAACACCGACAGAAUGAGGAGCUCCUCGCCGUCCCUCACGAAAAAAAUACCCUGAAAUCAUAAAGCGCUGCCAUCUAUCAACAACGUGCCUGGGAAAUGGAAACAGAUUGAACCGUCUCUCUGGUGUUUUAAAUAAUUGAUUCCCUCUUACGCCGGCUCCUACCUGCCACAGAUCCGGCGGACCAGCAGGGAGUCAUCAACAGCGAACUCGACCACAGAGUCCAGCUGCUCGCGUCUCUUGUCCAGCAAGUCGUCCAGCUGGAGGAGAUGAACAAGAGACAAUAUGGACGUUUUCACCAUCAGCUGAAAGUCUAAAAUGUUAAAUUUACUCUUUUUUUAUACUAUAUAUGUUUUAUACUAAAAUAUAAAACUUUCCCCAAACCA
Scophthalmus maximus (turbot) is the source of this 1367-nucleotide long non-coding RNA. RefSeq lists it as uncharacterized. The record is from RefSeq and is a predicted model, not a curated record. NCBI's taxonomy places the organism in Eukaryota, Metazoa, Chordata, Actinopteri, Pleuronectiformes, Scophthalmidae. The transcript has 2 exons.